This 21-nucleotide microRNA is filed under the name Helianthus annuus (common sunflower). RNAcentral describes it as "han-miR3440". The record is from miRBase by way of RNAcentral. Lineage: Eukaryota; Viridiplantae; Streptophyta; Magnoliopsida; Asterales; Asteraceae.
UGGGUUGGUCAAGGGAAACGC